RNAcentral lists this transfer RNA (73 nucleotides) under Camelus bactrianus (Bactrian camel). It matches the Rfam family "tRNA". From Rfam's summary of the family: Transfer RNA (tRNA) molecules are approximately 80 nucleotides in length. RNAcentral also lists the same sequence under 2 other names. Lineage: Eukaryota; Metazoa; Chordata; Mammalia; Artiodactyla; Camelidae. The record is from Rfam by way of RNAcentral.
GAAGGUAUAGCUCAAGUGAUAGAGCCAUUACUUAGCAUGCAUGAGUUCCUGGGUUCAAUCCCCAGUACCUCCU